RNAcentral lists this ribosomal RNA (763 nucleotides) under uncultured Streptococcus sp. Its description in RNAcentral is "bacterial SSU rRNA". It matches the Rfam family "Bacterial small subunit ribosomal RNA", at positions 28 to 776 of the family's 1533-position model. The record is from RNAcentral. Lineage: Bacteria; Bacillati; Bacillota; Bacilli; Lactobacillales; Streptococcaceae.
GACGAACGCUGGCGGCGUGCCUAAUACAUGCAAGUAGAACGCUGAAGGAGGAGCUUGCUUCUCUGGAUGAGUUGCGAACGGGUGAGUAACGCGUAGGUAACCUGCCUGGUAGCGGGGGAUAACUAUUGGAAACGAUAGCUAAUACCGCAUAAUAGUAGAUGUUGCAUGACAUUUGCUUAAAAGGUGCAAUUGCAUCACUACCAGAUGGACCUGCGUUGUAUUAGCUAGUUGGUGGGGUAACGGCUCACCAAGGCGACGAUACAUAGCCGACCUGAGAGGGUGAUCGGCCACACUGGGACUGAGACACGGCCCAGACUCCUACGGGAGGCAGCAGUAGGGAAUCUUCGGCAAUGGACGGAAGUCUGACCGAGCAACGCCGCGUGAGUGAAGAAGGUUUUCGGAUCGUAAAGCUCUGUUGUAAGAGAAGAACGAGUGUGAGAGUGGAAAGUUCACACUGUGACGGUAUCUUACCAGAAAGGGACGGCUAACUACGUGCCAGCAGCCGCGGUAAUACGUAGGUCCCGAGCGUUGUCCGGAUUUAUUGGGCGUAAAGCGAGCGCAGGCGGUUAGAUAAGUCUGAAGUUAAAGGCUGUGGCUUAACCAUAGUACGCUUUGGAAACGGUUUAACUUGAGUGCAAGAGGGGAGAGUGGAAUUCCAUGUGUAGCGGUGAAAUGCGUAGAUAUAUGGAGGAACACCGGUGGCGAAAGCGGCUCUCUGGCUUGUAACUGACGCUGAGGCUCGAAAGCGUGGGGAGCAAACAGG